Long non-coding RNA from Bradysia coprophila, 124 nucleotides. The record is from RefSeq and is a predicted model, not a curated record. Lineage: Eukaryota; Metazoa; Arthropoda; Insecta; Diptera; Sciaridae.
AACGUGUGGCAACGUGUAAAAAACAAAAAUCAAAACCCACCAGAAACCGGUGGUGAUCCACUUGUCAACGGACAAAUCAUAAACAAAUUCCUUAAAAAAAUUUAAAAUCGCGAAUCUUGUUAGC